This 486-nucleotide ribosomal RNA is filed under the name uncultured bacterium. Its description in RNAcentral is "partial 16S ribosomal RNA". It matches the Rfam family "Bacterial small subunit ribosomal RNA", at positions 28 to 507 of the family's 1533-position model. The record is from RNAcentral.
GACGAACGCUGGCGGCGUGCUUAACACAUGCAAGUCGAACGCUGAAGACCUGGCUUUUGUUGGGUUGGGUGAGUGGCGAACGGGUGAGUAACACGUGAGUAACCUGCCCUCUUCUUUGGGAUAACGCCCGGAAACGGGUGCUAAUACUGGAUAUUCACUGAUCUUCGCAUGGGGGUUGGUGGAACGGUUUGUUCUGGUUGGGGGUGGGCUCGCUGCCUAUCAGCUUGUUGGUGGGGUGAUGGCCUACCAAGGCUUUGACGGGUAGCCGGCCUGAGAGGGUGACAGGUGACAUUGGGACUGAGAUACGGCCCAGACGGCGACGGGAGGGAGCAGUGGGGAAUAUUGCACAAUGGGCGAAAGCCUGAUGCAGGGACGCGGCGUGAGGGAUGGAGGCUUUCGGGGUGUAAAUCUCGUUAGCUAAGGGCCAAGCCGCAACUGCGGGUUGUGGUGAGGGUAGUGGGUAAAGAAGCGCCGGCUAACUACGUG